Molecule: non-coding RNA, 23 nt
Filed under: Arabidopsis thaliana (thale cress)
Lineage: Eukaryota; Viridiplantae; Streptophyta; Magnoliopsida; Brassicales; Brassicaceae
Source: RNAcentral
CUAUCAAAGGGCAAGUUUGGGCA